RNAcentral lists this ribosomal RNA (495 nucleotides) under uncultured bacterium. RNAcentral describes it as "partial 16S ribosomal RNA". It matches the Rfam family "Bacterial small subunit ribosomal RNA", at positions 28 to 507 of the family's 1533-position model. The record is from RNAcentral.
GACGAACGCUGGCGGCGUGCCUAAUACAUGCAAGUCGAACGCUGAAGGAGGAGCUUGCUCUUCUGGAUGAGUUGCGAACGGGUGAGUAACGCGUAGGUAACCUGCCUGGUAGCGGGGGAUAACUAUUGGAAACGAUAGCUAAUACCGCAUAACAGUAGAUGUUGCAUGACAUUUACUUAAAAGUUGCACUUGCAUCACUACCAGAUGGACCUGCGUUGUAUUAGCUAGUUGGUGGGGUAACGGCUCACCAAGGCGACGAUACAUAGCCGACCUGAGAGGGGGGUUGGGCACACUGGGAACGAGACAAGGGCCCGGACUCCUAGGGAAGGAGCCAGAGGGGAAUAUUGGAAAAGGACGGAAGGCUUAACGCAGCACGACGGGGGGGGGGAGGAAGGUCUCGGGUUGGUAAGGUCCGUUUUUAGAGAAGGAAGAGUGUGAGAGUGAAACGUUCAUAUUGUGACGGUAUCUAACCAGAAAGCGCCGGCUAACUACGUG